UACGAAGGGGGCUAGCGUUGCUCGGAAUCACUGGGCGUAAAGCGCACGUAGGCGGAUUGUUAAGUCAGGGGUGAAAUCCUGGAGCUCAACUCCAGAACUGCCUUUGAUACUGGCGAUCUCGAGUCCGGGAGAGGUGAGUGGAACUGCGAGUGUAGAGGUGAAAUUCGUAGAUAUUCGCAAGAACACCAGUGGCGAAGGCGGCUCACUGGCCCGGUACCGACGCUGAGGUGCGAAAGCGUGGGGAGCAAACAGG
RNAcentral lists this ribosomal RNA (253 nucleotides) under uncultured bacterium. RNAcentral describes it as "partial 16S ribosomal RNA". It matches the Rfam family "Bacterial small subunit ribosomal RNA", at positions 524 to 776 of the family's 1533-position model. The record is from RNAcentral.